GAUGAACGCUGGCGGCGUGCCUAAUACAUGCAAGUCGAGCGAACGGACGAGAAGCUUGCUUCUCUGAUGUUAGCGGCGGACGGGUGAGUAACACGUGGAUAACCUACCUAUAAGACUGGGAUAACUUCGGGAAACCGGAGCUAAUACCGGAUGAUAUUUUGAACCGCAUGGUUCAAAAGUGAAAGACGGUCUUGCUGUCACUUAUAGAUGGAUCCGCGCUGCAUUAGCUAGUUGGUAAGGUAACGGCUUACCAAGGCAACGAUGCAUAGCCGACCUGAGAGGGUAAUCGGCCACACUGGAACUGAGACACGGUCCAGACUCCUACGGGAGGCAGCAGUAGGGAAUCUUCCGCAAUGGGCGAAAGCCUGACGGAGCAACGCCGCGUGAGUGAUGAAGGUCUUCGGAUCGUAAAACUCUGUUAUUAGGGAAGAACAUAUGUGUAAGUAACUGUGCACAUCUUGACGGUACCUAAUCAGAAAGCCACGGCUAACUACGUG
Molecule: ribosomal RNA, 497 nt
Filed under: uncultured bacterium
Lineage: Bacteria
Description: partial 16S ribosomal RNA
Rfam family: Bacterial small subunit ribosomal RNA
Source: RNAcentral